This 467-nucleotide ribosomal RNA is filed under the name uncultured bacterium. RNAcentral's name for it is "partial 16S ribosomal RNA". It matches the Rfam family "Bacterial small subunit ribosomal RNA", at positions 29 to 507 of the family's 1533-position model. The record is from RNAcentral.
ACGAACGCUGGCGGCGUGCUUAACACAUGCAAGUCGAACGGAAAGGCCCUGCUUUUGUGGGGUGCUCGAGUGGCGAACGGGUGAGUAACACGUGAGUAACCUGCCCUUGACUUUGGGAUAACUUCAGGAAACUGGGGCUAAUACCGGAUAGGAGCUCCUGCUGCAUGGUGGGGGUUGGAAAGUUUCGGCGGUUGGGGAUGGACUCGCGGCUUAUCAGCCUGUUGGUGGGAUAGUGGCUUACCAAGGCUUUGACGGGUAGCCGGCCUGAGAGGGUGACCGGCCACAUUGGGACUGAGAUACGGCCCAGACUCCUACGGGAGGCAGCAGUGGGGAAUAUUGCACAAUGGGCGGAAGCCUGAUGCAGCAACGCCGCGUGCGGGAUGACGGCCUUCGGGUUGUAAACCGCUUUCGCCUGUGACGAAGCGUGAGUGACGGUAAUGGGUAAAGAAGCACCGGCUAACUACGUG